This 61-nucleotide transfer RNA is filed under the name Grandidierella osakaensis. RNAcentral's name for it is "tRNA-Glu". The record is from RNAcentral. Lineage: Eukaryota; Metazoa; Arthropoda; Malacostraca; Amphipoda; Corophiidae.
GUUUUUAUAGUGUAAAUUAACAUAUUGUCCUUUCAAGACAAAGAUAAUAUUUUUAAAAACA